CAGAGAAUAGUUUAUUAAAAAUAUUAAUUUUGGAGAUUAAUGAUAGGAUGAUUUCUUUCUCUGA
This 64-nucleotide transfer RNA is filed under the name Sinodendron rugosum. RNAcentral describes it as "tRNA-Pro". Lineage: Eukaryota; Metazoa; Arthropoda; Insecta; Coleoptera; Lucanidae. The record is from RNAcentral.